AUUGAACGCUGGCGGCAGGCCUAACACAUGCAAGUCGAGCGGAUGAAGGGAGCUUGCUCCUGGAUUCAGCGGCGGACGGGUGAGUAAUGCCUAGGAAUCUGCCUGGUAGUGGGGGAUAACGUCCGGAAACGGGCGCUAAUACCGCAUACGUCCUGAGGGAGAAAGUGGGGGGUCUUCGGACCUCACGCUAUCAGAUGAUCCUCGGUCGGAUUAGCUAGUUGGUGGGGUUAAGGGCUACCAAGGCGACGGUCCGUAACCGGUCGGAGAGGAUGGUAAGUCACCCUGGAACUUGAAAACGGUCCCGGGUACUACGGGACGCAGCAGUGGGGAAUAUUGGGCAGCGGGCGGAAGCCUUGUACAAGCAUGGCGAGUGUGUGGAAAAGGUCCUCCGUUUGUGAAGCACUUUAAGUUGGGAGGAAGGGCAGUAAGUUAAUACCUUGCUGUUUUGACGUUACCAACAGAAUAAGCACCGGCUAACUUCGUG
Molecule: ribosomal RNA, 484 nt
Filed under: uncultured bacterium
Lineage: Bacteria
Description: partial 16S ribosomal RNA
Rfam family: Bacterial small subunit ribosomal RNA
Source: RNAcentral